This 600-nucleotide ribosomal RNA is filed under the name Allobracon sp. indet 2. Its description in RNAcentral is "eukaryotic LSU rRNA". It matches the Rfam family "Eukaryotic large subunit ribosomal RNA", at positions 479 to 785 of the family's 3401-position model. Lineage: Eukaryota; Metazoa; Arthropoda; Insecta; Hymenoptera; Braconidae. The record is from RNAcentral.
AGAUCGAAUGAGGAGAUUCAUCGUCAGCUCAUUUUGUAUAUAUAUAAGCUGUGAUGCGGGUUACUACUUGUAGUAUUGCCUGCACAUUCUUGUAUAUUUAAUUGCAAGAUGUUGUCGGCGUGCACUUCUCCUCUAGUAGGACGUCGCGACCCGUUGGGUGUCGGUCUACGGCCCGGGUGGUAGCCUUUAGUGUUUUCUAACAUUGAAGACCCCUGGUGUUUCCUGACCGGCUACUCGGCGGUAUUCGUACGGUAUUAAGCCGCAUAUUAUAUGCGUCCAUUCCCGUCGCAAGCGAGGCAAAUUUUUUAGUAGUGCGGACCUAGUGCCGUCGCUGUGAUUGGCCAGCUGUUGGUUGUUACGGUGUUCUGGGACUGGCUUUGUUUUUACCGGUCGGCGAUGCUACUGCUUUGGGUACUUUCAGGACCCGUCUUGAAACACGGACCAAGGAGUCUAACAUGUGCGCGAGUCAUUGGGAUUUUUUUUUUAAAUUAAACCUAAAGGCGUAAUGAAAGUGAAAGCCGUCCUUGCGUCGGCUGAGGGAGGAUGGGUUGUAUUAAGAUACAGCUCCGCACUCCCGGGNNNUCUCAUUCUCAUUGCGAG